Long non-coding RNA from Malania oleifera, 737 nucleotides. RefSeq lists it as uncharacterized. The transcript has 2 exons. Lineage: Eukaryota; Viridiplantae; Streptophyta; Magnoliopsida; Santalales; Ximeniaceae. The record is from RefSeq and is a predicted model, not a curated record.
GUCAUGAUUCGCACAGGCCAAAAAUGAACUUAAAGAACAAUAAACACAGCACAUGGCUUGAUGCAUGCAACUGGCCCAUUUGAAACUGCUUGCAGGAAAACAAGAGCAUCUCACUUUGACUUUCCCUCCUGUGGUAAAAGCAUGUAAUGCCAUUCAAUGCUUAAAGGGCACUUAAUUACACUGAUGUCAUUUGAUUUAUAAAUAUGAAGCAGUGUGGGGUGUGAGCUUUGUAUCGUUCAUUUGAAAUAAGCUCUUGAGAGAAGAGGAGAGGAAGACGAGGCCAUGGAGGGGAAAGGGAAAGGCAUUUGGGUUUUGGGUAUGAUGUUGGGUGUGGUGUUGGUGUUAGCACAGAAUGUAACAUCGCAAUCACAGAUAUAUAGUUGCUGGGGAGGGUGCUACAACCAGUGUUAUCUCAUAAAUGGGCAAACUAGGGCAUCCAAGUGGCCUUGCUCUGCGAGUUGCAUAAAUGACUGCAACCCUUUCUUAUCUUCGGCCUCCCUAUCAUUUAACUUUUGUCAGCUUGGUUGUUCAUUAGCCUCAUGCCUCAAAUUCAGCUAUGCAGAUGGACUUGUGAUGGAAAGCUGCAUGAAGAGGUGCUUCAAGACCUGCAAGAACAAACAACUGUAGCCAGCCAUGUCCAUGUUUCACAUUGAUAAAAUCUAAGGGUGUCUCUGCUCUGUGCUUGGUCCAAAUUAGCAUUCAAUACUAAUAAAAUGGUAUGAUGUGUAUUUGAAAAA